UACGUAGGGUGCGAGCGUUAAUCGGAAUUACUGGGCGUAAAGCGUGCGCAGGCGGUUCGUUAAGUUCGUUGUGAAAGCCCCGGGCUCAACCUGGGAACUGCAAUGGAAACUGGCGGGCUUGAGUGUGGCAGAGGGGGUGGAAUUCCGCGUGUAGCAGUGAAAUGCGUAGAGUAUGACGGAGGAACACCGAUGGCGAAGGCAAUCCCCUGGGCCUGCACUGACGCUCAUGCACGAAAGCGUGGGAGCAAACA
This 251-nucleotide ribosomal RNA is filed under the name uncultured bacterium. Its description in RNAcentral is "partial 16S ribosomal RNA". It matches the Rfam family "Bacterial small subunit ribosomal RNA", at positions 524 to 774 of the family's 1533-position model. The record is from RNAcentral.